Long non-coding RNA from Polypterus senegalus (gray bichir), 511 nucleotides. RefSeq lists it as uncharacterized. The record is from RefSeq and is a predicted model, not a curated record. The transcript is spliced from 3 exons. Lineage: Eukaryota; Metazoa; Chordata; Cladistia; Polypteriformes; Polypteridae.
CGCUUCUAAAGCUCGGCAUUUCAGUAUCGAGCAGUCCAUCAUUAUAGGCAGCCUUGCUGGCACGCUUGGCCGCUCCGCAACUACAUACUGAAGGUGGACAGAAAUGACGUCAUCAUUGAGGACCAGAAAGUGACGUUAUUAGGGCAGGCUGUAAGGGACGUCGCCUCAGGAGAACCAGAAGUGAUGUCAUCGCUGGAGUACAGAGCUGGGAUUAUUGAGUGGAAGCCAUUUUGAGUGACCGGAAAUAUGGAUGUAUGAACUCUUGCAUGGUUCUGAAGACUUCUUUUGUCAGAGAAUCCUUUGCCACACUCCGAACAGGAAUGAGGCUUCUCUCCGUUGUGACUUCGUGUAUGGCAACGAAGAAUGCUGCUGGUGGAGAAUCGUUUACUACAUUUAGAACAGCAGUAUGGCUUCUCUCCAGUGUGAAUUCGUGUGUGUGUCUGAAGUUGGCUUCUGGUAAAAAAUCCUUUGCCACAUGCAACACAUAAAAAAGACUUCUUUCCGCUGUGAA